RNAcentral lists this transfer RNA (68 nucleotides) under Marmota monax (woodchuck). Its description in RNAcentral is "tRNA.Thr". The record is from RNAcentral. Lineage: Eukaryota; Metazoa; Chordata; Mammalia; Rodentia; Sciuridae.
GGAUUGUGGCUCAGUGGCAAAGCGCUUGGCUGGUGCCUAUGAGGCACUGGGUUUGAGCCUCAGCACCA